GGCUCAGGAUGAACGCUGGCGGCGUGCUUAACACAUGCAAGUCGAACGGGGAUUAUUUUGACAGAGACUUCGGUUGAAGUCGUUAUAAUCCUAGUGGCGGACGGGUGAGUAACGCGUGGGUAACCUGCCUCACACUGGGGGAUAACAGUCAGAAAUGACUGCUAAUACCGCAUAAGCGCACGGGAUUGCAUGAUCCAGUGUGAAAAACUCCGGUGGUGUGAGAUGGACCCGCGGCGCAUUAGCUAGUUGGUGGGGUAAUGGCCUACCAAGGCGACGAUGCGUAGCCGACCUGAGAGGGUGAUCGGCCACACUGGGACUGAGACACGGCCCAGACUCCUACGGGAGGCAGCAGUAGGGAAUCUUCCGGCAAUGGACGAAAGUCU
This 383-nucleotide ribosomal RNA is filed under the name uncultured bacterium. RNAcentral describes it as "bacterial SSU rRNA". It matches the Rfam family "Bacterial small subunit ribosomal RNA", at positions 21 to 384 of the family's 1533-position model. The record is from RNAcentral.